GCGCCAUUAGCUCAGUUGGUAGAGCAUCUGACUCUUAAUCAGGCGGCCACAGGUUCAAAUCCUGUAUGACGCACCA
Molecule: transfer RNA, 76 nt
Filed under: Fusobacterium ulcerans
Lineage: Bacteria; Fusobacteriati; Fusobacteriota; Fusobacteriia; Fusobacteriales; Fusobacteriaceae
Also listed under: 5 other names
Description: tRNA-Lys
Rfam family: tRNA
About the family: Transfer RNA (tRNA) molecules are approximately 80 nucleotides in length. Their secondary structure includes four short double-helical elements and three loops (D, anti-codon, and T loops).
Source: RNAcentral